RNAcentral lists this long non-coding RNA (769 nucleotides) under Olea europaea subsp. europaea. Lineage: Eukaryota; Viridiplantae; Streptophyta; Magnoliopsida; Lamiales; Oleaceae. The record is from RNAcentral.
AAGAAACUCAGUCGGUCACAAAUAACAAUCUACUUUUAUGUGCUGUCUACAGUCAACAUUACUCAACAAGAUACAACAAUUUCUAAAGAGAAAUUUGGCCCUAUCGGAUACAAAAUAUAAUGAAAUAAGACUCAAAUUUUAGUUUUGUUUCCCCCGUCAUUGGAGAAAUGAAAUGAAUUCUUGCUGUCCCGACACCUUACUCAAUUCUUCUAAGAUGUUCAAGAGAAGAAUAGUGUAUUGAUUUUAUCACACAAAAUUAACAAUCAAAUGUUCGCACACAUACAACAGCAAUCUUGUCAUGGAACAAAAACAAGCAUGUUCAUUUGGCGUAACGGACUGUGCUCAACAGAAUUAAAGAAGAAAAAUAAAUUAAAAUCUAAUUCAUUUUACUACGCAGCGCUGUCUAAGCUGCAUACCAAGCAUAACCUAAAUGGUUUGACAUAAACUAUAGAGACAAAAUUUUUGCUUCCCCAGAAUUGAAGAAACCAAAUGAGCAAGCCAGAAUACACAAAUCCUUAUAACCAAAUCUGAACCAGAGCUUCAUUCCCGUUCACACGUAAACACGACUUCUCCAGCAAGAAACCGUCUGCUUUGUGAUGCUGGACUAAUUUAGGCAAGCACUUGGAAGUGGGAACCAAUAUUGUGGCCACUUUGGAUACGUGCGCUUGUAUAAACUCAUGCAGACUGUGUCAUGCUGCUGGAGGACCCCGUUGAAAACACAUUUCAUUGCCCCUGAAAAAAGAUUCGGAGAGAAUUUGUAAUCCGUUAA